GUGGGGAAUAUUGGACAAUGGGCGAAAGCCUGAUCCAGCAAUGCCGCGUGAGUGAAGAAGGCCUUCGGGUUGUAAAGCUCUUUUACCCGGGAAGAUAAUGACUGUACCGGGAGAAUAAGCCCCGGCUAACUCCGUGCCAGCAGCCGCGGUAAUACGGAGGGGGCUAGCGUUGUUCGGAAUUACUGGGCGUAAAGUGCACGUAGGCGGUCUUUAAAGUCAGAGGUGAAAGCCCGGGGCUCAACUCCGGAAUUGCCUUUGAAACUGGGAGACUUGAACACGGGAGAGGUGAGUGGAAUUCCGAGUGUAGAGGUGAAAUUCGUAGAUAUUCGGAGGAACACCAGUGGCGAAGGCGGCUCACUGGACCGUUGUUGACGCUGAGGUGCGAAAGCGUGGGGAGCAAACAGGAUUAGAAACCCUAGUAGUCC
This 425-nucleotide ribosomal RNA is filed under the name uncultured bacterium. RNAcentral's name for it is "partial 16S ribosomal RNA". It matches the Rfam family "Bacterial small subunit ribosomal RNA", at positions 354 to 796 of the family's 1533-position model. The record is from RNAcentral.